CUUAGAAAAUGUGCCGGAAUUUAGGUGAUCAGUGGCCGAAUUGAGGCUUCAUGCAAGUGAAAGGCCACGCCAACCUCAUUACCACUAACGUGUUUAUAUUUGGAUUCUGCUGCACUUCUGUACAUAUCCAGUACUAUGACAUCAGAAGAUACAAAGUUUGCUUGUGGUCGAAUUAGAAGUGGAUUUUGUCCAUGGAAAAUAUUGGUCCACAAGCUGCUAGCCCUGGAAAAUUGGCCUGUGAUGCAUUAUCUCAAUAGCGGGCCCCGUAUGAAACUGAUGAUGACAUUGCAGAGGAGAAAGACCAGAUGAAAUUCAUGUGUACAUUAUCGUCAAAUUGUAUUAAACCGUUGCCUGCUUGAGGAAUUAGUUGAGUCUGAGUUAGACUGAUGUCUAUAUUAAAUCAGUUCAAAAUGUACUCUGAUUUUAUGUAUUAAUAAGUCAUCUGGGAGAAUUGGAUGUAGUUGGGCGGUAGGCUAUUAUAUAGCCUACUUCGUAUUCUAGAAAGCUGGAAACAGGUAGUAGGUCUUCGUACUAUUGGGACAUGUAGUGAAUAUACCAGCCAACAUAAGAAGAUGUGACGAUAAGUGUAUGAUGUGUUUUGGGGGCCUGAGUUAUUCGAUGACAAUUUUUAUAUAUGAUAAUUGUGAUAGUCUGAGAAUUUUUAUUCUUUUGCUAUUUGCUUUAUGAUUCAUGUCAUUUUCUUUUCAUUCUAGUAGUUAUUGUGAUGUUUUUUAUUUGAAUGCCAGAAUGUUCUUAGGCAUGUGUAAAAGGAGUGUUCUUAUUUAUCGGCUCACUAAUUCUAAAUUUGUGACUUCCAAAAACUUGUACUUAAAAUUUUUUUCUUUGCCUUAACCCAAACUUGUACUUGUUAAAUUACUGUAUAUUUAUUUGAACUCAGAUGAUACAGCAUUAAAGCUGAAAAUCUUUAAUGCUGAUUUAGUUAGAUUUAGACUAAGAAUAUUAGUAUAUUUAAGAGUAGUCAAAAGAAGCAAUUCUAUUGUGCCAAGUAAAAAUAUUGGGAGUGGGAUAUAGCCAGGCUUCUAAAGAUAGACUCUGAAGAGUGUAGUAGCUAAGUAGCAAAAAUUUCUUGUCUUGAGGAUAUAGAGCCGGGUCUGCAUUCCAGCCUACCAUUAUCUUGAAGUGAUGUGGGCAUGAUUAUGGCUGGAUAGAUGAUGUUUGGAGAAUGAAAUAGAUACCGUGGCCUAUGGGGUUCCCAAGCACAGAGCUUUUUUGCUAUGUCUCACAAAUUUUAAUGAGUUUCUACAUGCAUAUAGCUUGUACCUUAUGUAAAUAGGUUAGCUACUGGGAAUGACCAGCAGCCCCAGGCUGUUCCGGCCUCUGGUACUGCGAAGACAGUUGAGUUUCUUAUGGAGAUAGUUUUAUGAGCAUUUGCCACCACAAACAGUGGAGGCAGACGAAGUACAGGCUCGAGCCUCAGUUAUGGUAAAACAGACUCAGUUUUUAAGGAGGAGUCUAAUAUUCUGAGCAUGGAGACUUGAUUUGACUCUUGGCUUUUCAGAGUCGGGGAAUAAUUUUCACUUUAUGUUAGUGUAUGAAAUUGGUUAUAAAUAUGUGAAAAUAAGCGGACCUUAAUAAGGAAGAGUUAAUGCAAUGAAGCAGAACUUGUAUCUCAACAUUCUCCUUUUCUUACUUCAUUUACUUUCCAUAUUGCACUCAUUCAAUGGAUGGGAUGCAAUAGUUGUUUGAGUAUAACAAGUUUGUGCUUAUGCUGA
Long non-coding RNA from Pteropus alecto (black flying fox), 1733 nucleotides. RefSeq lists it as uncharacterized. Lineage: Eukaryota; Metazoa; Chordata; Mammalia; Chiroptera; Pteropodidae. The record is from RefSeq and is a predicted model, not a curated record. The transcript has 2 exons.